This 345-nucleotide unclassified non-coding RNA is filed under the name soil metagenome. RNAcentral describes it as "partial contains 5.8S ribosomal RNA, internal transcribed spacer 2, and large subunit ribosomal RNA". The stretch from base 1 to 120 matches the Rfam family "5.8S ribosomal RNA", at positions 35 to 154 of the family's 154-position model. The record is from RNAcentral.
GAUGAAGAACGCAGCGAAAUGCGAUAAGUAGUGUGAAUUGCAGAAUUCAGUGAAUCAUCGAAUCUUUGAACGCACAUUGCGCCCUUUGGUAUUCCGGGGGGCAUGCCUGUCCGAGCGUCAUUGCUGCCCUCAAGCACGGCUUGUGUGUUGGGCCUCCGUCCUCCUCCCGGGGGACGGGCCCGAAAGGCAGCGGCGGCACCGCGUCCGGUCCUCGAGCGUAUGGGGCUUCGUCACCCGCUCUUGUAGGCCCGGCCGGCGCUUGCCGACACAUCAAUCUUUUUUCCAGGUUGACCUCGGAUCAGGUAGGGAUACCCGCUGAACUUAAGCAUAUCAAUAAGCGGAGGA